CGUAGGGUGCGAGCGUUGUCCGGAAUUAUUGGGCGUAAAGAGCUCGUAGGCGGUUUGUCGCGUCGACUGUGAAAACCUGGGGCUUAACUCUGGGCCUGCAGUCGAUACGGGCAGACUUGAGUUCGGUAGGGGAGACUGGAAUUCCUGGUGUAGCGGUGAAAUGCGCAGAUAUCAGGAGGAACACCGGUGGCGAAGGCGGGUCUCUGGGCCGAUACUGACGCUGAGGAGCGAAAGCGUGGGGAGCGAACAGGAUUAGAUACCCUGGUAGUCCACGCUGUAAACGUUGGGCGCUAGGUGUGGGGAGCAUUCAUGUUUUCCGUGCCGUAGCUAACGCAUUAAGCGCCCCGCCUGGGGAGUACGGCCGCAAGGCUA
This 372-nucleotide ribosomal RNA is filed under the name uncultured organism. RNAcentral describes it as "bacterial SSU rRNA". It matches the Rfam family "Bacterial small subunit ribosomal RNA", at positions 526 to 896 of the family's 1533-position model. The record is from RNAcentral.